Molecule: long non-coding RNA, 2468 nt
Organism: Cannabis sativa
Lineage: Eukaryota; Viridiplantae; Streptophyta; Magnoliopsida; Rosales; Cannabaceae
Exons: 3
Source: RefSeq, a predicted model, not a curated record
UCAGAUCUUGAUAAUGCUCUGCUACAUAAAGGAAUCAAGGGCUAGAGAUCUUGAACGGAAGGAGUCAUUAUAUUCUGCUGCAACCAAUGUAAGGUUUUCUUAAACCCCUAUGUGUUUAUUUCAUUGUUUUAGAGAAUUCAUAUUUAGGAUGUUAAUCAAUAUACUUGUUAGUAAAUCUAGAUCCUGGUAAAAUAUUCCCAACAAUCACAGUACCAAGUCACAAGUAAACAGAGUCCUGAAACUAUGAACAAAAAGAAAGAGAUGGAAAAGAUACCCUAUGUUGCUGUAGUAGGGUCAAUCAUGUACCUUAUGGUAUGUUCAAUACUUAAUUUUUCCCAUAGUAUCAGUUGUCUUAGUAGAUAUAUGGCCAAUCCAGGAAAGGAUCAUUGACAUACAAUGAAAUGGUUAAUGAGAUACUUGGUGGGAACUAUCAAUGAAGGACUUUUGUAUAAACAAAAAGCUGGAGUGGUUAGUUUUGAAAGGUUUAGUGAUUCAGAUUAUGCAGAUCACAAACACACCAAAAGAUCUACCUGAACCUACCAGUUCUUAGUGUGUUGAAAUUAUGUUAGCUAAAAAACAUAAUUGUUAUCUAUGAUAGCUCUAGCCACCACAGAAGUUGAGUUCAUGGUAGCUAUAGAGGCCAUAAAGGAGUGUGGUUGGAUUCAAGGGAUUAUGAAAGAGCUAAAGCUAUUUGAAGAUAUUGCAUGGAUUAAUUUGGAUAGUCAAAGUGCUAUACAGUUGUACAAGAAUUUCAUGUAUCACGGUAGAACCAAGAAUAUAGACAUCAAAUAUUUUUUCAUAAGGGAAAAGGUACCACAAGGACAUAUCAAAAUAGAAAAGGUGCAUACAGAUGACAAUUCCUCUCAUAUGGGAAAAAAGUUAUAACUCUAGGAAAGUUUUAUCAUUGUAAGGACUUGCAUAGAAUUGGAAUUAGCUAAUACAACUUUGAGAAUUUCUGAACUCCCUGGUGGCUUAUAAUCAUUAGUUUUGAGUUAUAGUGACAGGCUAGGUGUUGGAUCAUCUCUCAUUAAACUUAGCCACGUGUUCAUCCUAGAUCAUCUCUCACAUACUUAGUUAGAAAAAGAAAAUAAUUAUUAUUUUUUUCAGUUAUUUUCUGUUACUCGAAGCUUUCAAGCCAUGUUUGUGUUAAGGUUUAUGCACUGAAAAGCCUAUAAAGAUAUUUAUAUUUAUAAAUAAGAGUUUAAUAUUUUCAUAUAUGCUUGAAUGUUAAAUUAUUAAUAUUUUAUAUUGAAUAAUUUAUAUAUAAUUAUCAGAAAAUUUAUUAGUCAUACAUAAGAUUAUGACUUGUAUUGUACGGAGAAUUAAUGUCACUUAUCCCUGAAUAAAACAGUCAGCAACAUAUUAAAGUUAUGAAAUCUUUAUUCAACGGUUGCUAGUACACUCACUGAUGCCCGUUAUUUGGUGCAAGCAAUCUCGAUUUAGAUUGCUGAUGUAGUAUGAUAUUUAAGUGACAUUAUUGUAUAUAAUAGAGGUCAUAUAUGUGCAAGAACCGCAUACUUAGAAAAUAUAUUAGUAGGGCAAUUAGCAUUAAACACUUUUAUUUUAUGAUUAUAUAUGGAUAUUUGUCUUGUGGGUCCUAUUUUCAAAAAAUAGGCAUUAAAAUUAUAAUUUUCAAUUCUGAAGAUUUAAUUAGACUCUAAGUGUAUUAUUUAUACUGUAUGUGAAAUUUUAAUAUUUUUAUAAUUUUUGUUCGGUAACAAUGAAAAAUGCAAUAGAUGGUCGUUAGAGUCACAUGGGUUAGGUUAGAACCUUUUAUCUAGUAGGACAAUCAGAAGUUUAAUUUUUGAAUAUUGGAGUUAGGCGAGGUUAUGGUAUCAGACUAUUUUACUCCUAAGCCAUAUUAUUAUCUAAGCUUGAAGUAAGAGGCAAAAUGGUCAUUUUGUCUAAUUUUGUGGUUUUGUCCUUUAGUGGAUUUUAGCAUUUUGGACUUAUUUUCUUAACUGAAGUAAAAUAAUUAAGUUACUAAUUAAAAGUUAUUCUUUUAGAUAAGUUAGAAAUUAAGAUUAAUCUAUUACCCCCUCUCUCUCUCUCUCGACACUUCUUGAACCCAAAGGAAUCAAGGUUUCAUCUCCAGUUUUCUAUCAUUUCUAGCUGGGAAUUUAAGGUAAUUCAGAAGCUAUUGUAAGGGAUAAGCUAAGGGCCUCCAUUCAAUGCGUGAAUUUCCAUUCAGGUUGACCGGCAUACUUGAAUCAAGAAACGAGGUAAAAGAAAGGCUAAGGUUGAGUACCGAUGAGUCCAGAGCUCGGAGAUGAUUCUACAUAUCAAGAUGGUUACACUUGGAGAGUUCAAUCUUGGGACGACUUUGGCCUACAUUUUGUAGUCGUAGAGCGACAUGUCUAUAAAGUGUAUAUUGAAGAUGAAUGUUAAUUUUAAAGACGGGAUUCCAACUUUUUGUACAGACAUAUAUAUAUUUAUAAAGUUUAAAGUUUAAUUAAAAAUUUAAAUUU